Molecule: ribosomal RNA, 253 nt
Filed under: uncultured bacterium
Lineage: Bacteria
Description: partial 16S ribosomal RNA
Rfam family: Bacterial small subunit ribosomal RNA
Source: RNAcentral
UACGUAGGUGACCAGCGUUGUCCGGAUUUACUGGGCGUAAAGAGCGCGCAGGCGGCUGGUCAAGUCCGAUGUGAAAGCUCCCGGCUUAACUGGGAAAUUGCAUCGGAAACUGAUCGGCUGGAAGGUGGGAGAGGGUAGCGGAAUUCCCGGUGUAGUGGUGAAAUGCGUAGAUAUCGGGAGGAACACCAGUGGCGAAAGCGGCUACCUGGCCCAUUCUUGACGCUGAGGCGCGAAAGCUAGGGGAGCAAACGGG